Molecule: long non-coding RNA, 703 nt
Organism: Gossypium arboreum
Lineage: Eukaryota; Viridiplantae; Streptophyta; Magnoliopsida; Malvales; Malvaceae
Exons: 2
Source: RefSeq, a predicted model, not a curated record
CAAGCAGCCGAGCCGAAGAAGCGACGCCAAUGCCAUAGAGCAAAUAAAAGGCCACCAAUGAUUGAGACCAACGUGUACAUCUACUGAUCACCAUCCAACGGUACUUAUCUACCCGGAACAAAUGGGGAAAAGUCUUAAAAUUUCCGUCUUUAAAACAUAAACAGGAGAGGAGACAGAGAGUGAGGGAAGAUGGGGAUAGAAGUCAAAUCAUGGGAAUUGGCGUUUGUUCCACACGCGCUCGCCAUUGCUGGUGCUGUUAUGGUGUUGGUUUGGUGCAUAUACUUGAGAGGUGGGUUAGCUUGGGAGUCUUCCAACAAAAGUCUCAUCUUCAAUUGAUUGAAAAGAGGGAAGCUGCUCCUUUAACCAUCACCAAACAAGAGAAGAUGGAAGCUUUUGUUAAAUUUGGAUUUUGUGGAGGUGCAAUGUGCAAAUGCCAAACACUAUGGGAAUGUAAUUUGUUUUGAAUUCAACAUCUAUUUCUCAUGAAUAUCACCUGCCUACCUACCCACGUUUUUCACCAACAUUAAGAAACAUCACUUGCCACGUGCCUCCCCAAAAUGGAUACUGUUUAUAGGAGGAACAAGGGCGACUUCUUCAGAUUAUUUUUUAAAUAAUCAAAAAAUUAUUUAAUGAAGACUUUGACAUAUUUACAAUUAUCACCAAUAUAUAAUAAUUAUUGUGAGAUUUAGUAUUUUGAAUUAAA